GCACAAGCAGUGGAGUAUGUGGUUUAAUUCGAUGCAACGCGAAGAACCUUACCAGGUCUUGACAUCCGACUAACGGAGUAGAAAUGCACUGGUGCCCGCAAGGGAAAGUCGAGACAGGUGGUGCAUGGUUGUCGUCAGCUCGUGUCGUGAGAUGUUGGGUUAAGUCCCGCAACGAGCGCAACCCUUGUCAUUAGUUGCUACGGGAAGAGCACUCUAAUGAGACUGCCGUUGACAAAACGGAGGAAG
RNAcentral lists this ribosomal RNA (246 nucleotides) under uncultured bacterium. RNAcentral describes it as "partial 16S ribosomal RNA". It matches the Rfam family "Bacterial small subunit ribosomal RNA", at positions 923 to 1172 of the family's 1533-position model. The record is from RNAcentral.